GUCCCCUUCGUCUAGAGGCCUAGGACAUCACCCUUCACGGUGAGUACAGGGGUUCGAAUCCCCUAGGGGACGCCA
This 75-nucleotide transfer RNA is filed under the name Burkholderia pseudomallei. RNAcentral describes it as "tRNA-???(tc)". It matches the Rfam family "tRNA". Rfam says of the family: Transfer RNA (tRNA) molecules are approximately 80 nucleotides in length. Their secondary structure includes four short double-helical elements and three loops (D, anti-codon, and T loops). Further hydrogen bonds mediate the characteristic L-shaped molecular structure. tRNAs have two regions of fundamental functional importance: the anti-codon, which is responsible for specific mRNA codon recognition, and the 3' end, to which the tRNAs corresponding amino acid is attached (by aminoacyl-tRNA synthetases). tRNAs cope with the degeneracy of the genetic code in two manners: having more than one tRNA (with a specific anti-codon) for a particular amino acid; and 'wobble' base-pairing, i.e. permitting non-standard base-pairing at the 3rd anti-codon position. Lineage: Bacteria; Pseudomonadati; Pseudomonadota; Betaproteobacteria; Burkholderiales; Burkholderiaceae. The record is from RNAcentral.